GAAUUAGUCCACUUUCUUCCAUAUAUAUGUGUAUAUAUAUAUAUAUUCCUGAUUAGAAAAUUGUGUUUCAUAAAACAAAACAACUUUCUAGCAUCCCCUAUUUAUAGAGAUUAAUGAUCCUGGAAAUUCAUUAGACAAAACUUUAACUUUGGUAAUCCGAAAUCCCCAAUACUAAAAGUGUCAAAGGGAAAGCCUGACGUCAAUUGAGCUUUGUAGAGUUUUCUUUUGAAUCCGAGCCAGUUUAUCCGAUUAAGGAUCGUCAAAGCGAUUAAGGUGAUACAAUUUCAGCCCGGCAAUGACAACGCCACUGGGAUUGGAUUUACAGUUGCAAUACAGAUAUCAGUUUUAGUGUCGAUCAUCUCCGUUUAAAUCCAGCACGAUAACUGGUGUCGGAUGAAACCGUAAACUAGACAGUUGAAUCGAACGGAAGAAGAAAAAGAAACGAAAAAAAAGAAAAAGCGUGUGAACGAAGACAGGAAAGUCUCUUGCCGCAUUAUUAAAUUUUCCAACUCAUUAUCCAACUUUAUUUCCCCCUUACAUCAGCGUCGAGAUAAAACUGCGCAACGAAUGAAAAAAAAUUCCUCUUCUUGAAUUAUGGAUUCAAAUAGUACCGGGAGGAGGACGUAGGGGGGUAUCUAUCCUACGCACGCAGCCAGCGUGGAAGAAAAAAAAAAGUAGAAAACAAAAAGAAUGGCUGCUGGUAGGUUCAUUUGUUUAACAAAAUGGCACACCUGAUUCUCUCGGAAAAACAGAUGUAACAUUAAGGUACAAGGGCUUGGGGAAGCGAUGAAGAUCCAAGCGGGAAAUUCAGUCUGGUUUCAUGAAAACAUCAUGGAAAUUCCCUGUGUCGCCACGUAGCUUGACGAAUGAUGGCGAAAAGAAUGCCGUCGCGACGUACAACCUAAGUCGACUCUUCACACAAUGGAUAUUAUAUGAGAUUAUCCGGAUUGGUGAUAUCGGUCGGAUUUGACAGUCUUUAGGUUAUUCACUUUCAACUGAAUUGCUAAAGAAAGAGUGUGUAUAGGUAUUUGUGUCAGCUGCUGUUACGAUUCAAAUUUUAUGACGAAAAGUACAGGGGAAAUAAAAAUACUUUCGUUAUUCAUCAGAUCCCUUCCAGAGCUGCUACCAGUGUCCCUUAUAUAUUGUAAAAGGCCAAUUUUCCUUUUUUUUUUUUCUAUUCGAUUAAAGUACUCGAAGAAGUUUGUAUCCUUAAACGAAUAUUUCAUUGGAUCAGUAUAACCUGAAAGACCCUUCCAUAACUUAGACGAGCACUCGUGGUAAUGUUUUCUACUUAUACGAAGGGAUAACUUCUAGAAUGAAAAAGGGCGCGAGAGAAGAAGCAAAGAGAAAGGAGCUAGUGUCCCGUCUCUAGUGAAAGCCUCGUGCCCACUUCCAACCACGUUGCAAGAGGGUUCAAGUGCAGUUUAUAUGCAAAUGCAGAUAAUUCCUUUAGCGUUGCUUCCUGCGAGAAUCUUCUUGUCUGGCUGAUUCGGUAUUUAAAUGAGGUUACCUGUUUUCUUUAAACGUAAUUUUCUUGCUGGUCGUUAGCACCGGGUACCGAGUAAAGUACCUAGAGUACCGCAACAGUGGCAGAAGACCGAGAGACAGAGGGAGAGCAAAGCUUGAACGAUCAGAUCUUCUUCCAUAACCAUGUUGGCUACAAGGUACAAAUUGAAAUUUCGCAAGAAUAAACUCGCAAUUAAAUUGGAACGCUUACGCAAAUAAUUUUGUAAAUUUGUAAAAUAUAACUCGUGCAUCGUGCUGGAAGGAAAAAAUACGAUCGUUCACGAAAUAUAUUGAAAUAAUUCUCGACACGUUUCAUCAAUCUAAUACAAUAUACAAUGUGAACGAAUUUUACUUUCUGAAAGGAAUUUAUCUUAUUCAUUGAGAGUUUUUUAAUUUCACUUCCGCCACACCGACUUUCUUUACUUUUGACUUUUCUCUCUUUGAAUUGUCGGAAAUAAUGAACGAACAAACUGCGUGGCGACGGCUCCACACCAGCCAAUCCCUGAAGAAGUCGCUGAGAAGGAAGAAGAAGAAGAAAAGGGAGCACUUUUACUUCCUUUUGUCCUGUUAAAUCUGGGUCGCAGUACACGCCGAAGUGCUCUCAUCAUGGGAGCCCAAGAUUAUUUACGUAAAUUGCUUGCCAAAGUAGCUCAGAGGUUCUCAACGUCAAAAGUCAUUAUGAUAUCCGAUCAUACAGUUAUUCAAAGUACGUAAUUGAAAGAUAAAUUUUCUUAAGUGCAUCUCAACAAAGAUCUCGUCAAAGAAGAACAGCGAUCAUUCACACUUACUAGAGUUAGUACGAAAUCCAUCAGCCACUUGCAUAAAGUUGGAGUGACUAUUGCCUGAUAAGAUUCAUGAGACACGUGAGCAGGCAUUAAUUUUAUGUCUAACGUAUAAUGUACGUGCGUAGACCCUGAUACGUGGAAUCCGCUGUCAAUAUCGUAUAAUGUGAAAGCAUCGAAGAAGAUUGAACGUUCUGCGUCUUGUCUAGAAAGAAAAAAAA
Long non-coding RNA from Cephus cinctus (wheat stem sawfly), 2509 nucleotides. RefSeq lists it as uncharacterized. The transcript has 2 exons. The record is from RefSeq and is a predicted model, not a curated record. Lineage: Eukaryota; Metazoa; Arthropoda; Insecta; Hymenoptera; Cephidae.